AAUGAACGCUGGCGGCGCGCCUAAUACAUGCAAGUCGAGCGAGAAGACGUAGCAAUACGUUUGUAAAGCGGCGAACGGGUGAGGAAUACAUGGGUAACCUACCCUCGAGUGGGGAAUAACUAGCCGAAAGGUUAGCUAAUACCGCGUACGCUCCUUGGACUUCGGUUCAGGGAGGAAAGCGAUACCGUGGGUAUCGCGCUCUUGGUUGGGCUCAUGUCCUAUCAGCUUAUUGGUGAGGAACGGCUCACCAAGGCUUCGACGGGUAGCUGGUCUGAGAGGACGAUCAGCCACACUGGCACUGCGACACGGGCCAGACUCCUACGGGAGGCAGCAGUAAGGAAUAUUGCGCAAUGGGCGAAAGCCUGACGCAGCGACGCCGCGUGGGGGAUGAAGGUCUU
RNAcentral lists this ribosomal RNA (398 nucleotides) under uncultured bacterium. Its description in RNAcentral is "bacterial SSU rRNA". It matches the Rfam family "Bacterial small subunit ribosomal RNA", at positions 29 to 418 of the family's 1533-position model. The record is from RNAcentral.